Non-coding RNA from Pimephales promelas (fathead minnow), 438 nucleotides. Lineage: Eukaryota; Metazoa; Chordata; Actinopteri; Cypriniformes; Leuciscidae. The record is from RefSeq and is a predicted model, not a curated record.
GUGUUGCAUUAGAGACAUCUAGUGGUGUAAAUUUAUAUUGCAUUUGAGUUCUCAUAUUUAGUCCCUCCUCUCUUGCCGUUGUUUUUGCCUGUGUGCUUCUGACUCUGAUCUACUGAGAGGUCACGCAGCAGUUACUCUUUUCUCUUUGCCUUGGUAGUUUUUGAAGGUCUAAGUCUUUUUACAAAAUUGGAAAGAUCCUUACUAAAGGCCUCUCUGUACUCCGGUUUCCUGGGUCUUUAUUUAAUGGGUCUUAUGUUAGCUAUCUGCUACGCUAACCCAUCAAAGCAAGAGCAGAAUAGAAAUGAAAAUGAUUUCCAGCAUCUGUGGCUGUAGUACAUCAAGAUCCUCGCCACUACAGACGUGGACAGGCUCUGAGUUUCUGUCAGGUUGCGGUUGGACUUCAGUCUUCGGUCGAGUCUCGAGCUCAAGUCUUCCACC